GUAGGUUCGAAUCCUGCCGUUGUCG
RNAcentral lists this transfer RNA (25 nucleotides) under Entamoeba moshkovskii. RNAcentral's name for it is "tRNA-Ser". The record is from RNAcentral. Lineage: Eukaryota; Evosea; Mastigamoebida; Endamoebidae.